ACACUCUUGUACUGCAGGAUUUUCAUCUCCGAACUUUUCCACUGACCUUUUUUUUUUCGUUUUUCUUUUUUCUUCUUUGUGCAGCAGCAAUUUAAUCAGGUGACUGUUUCAUUAGUGUGGAUCUGUUGCUUCCUUUUCCGAGUAAAAGUGGCUGCAAGAAUAUUUAUAAUCCUUUGCAGUGCUCAAAUUUUUUCAUAUCUGCAAAGAAGAAAUGUGCAAGCAGAUUCUUGGCUGUUGUGGCCACUGGAAAAUUCCCAACUGUUUGAGAAUGGCAUUAUGGGUCCACUUUGGAGAUUGGGUUCAUUACUUUGUAUAUCUUUUCAGUUGUCACUCUCAGGUUCAUGGAUUCUUCAAUAAAUACAACUUUUGCCCAUUCUUUCUGAAAAAUAGAUUGCAUAGAUCAUUGCUGUGACCGUAAGCUCUAAAGGAUUAUUUAGGGCACAUAUGGUACACUGAAGCGAACAUUAUUUGAUAGAUAGAAAAACUUUAUAAAUUUUGUCGCACUUCUCUAUCUUUAAUUCAAUGUAGUCAUGAUUCGCUACGAGGUUUCACGACUGUU
RNAcentral lists this long non-coding RNA (559 nucleotides) under Olea europaea subsp. europaea. Lineage: Eukaryota; Viridiplantae; Streptophyta; Magnoliopsida; Lamiales; Oleaceae. The record is from RNAcentral.